AUUGAACGCUGGCGGCGUGCCUAACACAUGCAAGUCGAGCGGUAACAGGUGUAGCAAUACAUGCUGACGAGCGGCGAACGGGUGAGUAAUGCUUUGGAAUCUUCCCAGUAGUGGGGAAUAACCAGUCGAAAGAUUGGCUAAUACCGCAUACGUCUGUAAAGGGAAAGCGGGGGCUCGUAAGACCUCGCGCUAUUGGAUGAGCCAAAGUCGGAUUAGCUAGUUGGGGGGUAAUGGCCUACCAAGGCGACAAUCCGUAGCUGGUCUGAGAGGACGACCAGCCACACCGGAACUGAGACACGGUCCGGACUCCUACGGGAGGCAGCAGUGGGGAAUAUUGGACAAUGGGGGAAACCCUGAUCCAGCGACGCCGCGUGUGUGAAGAAGGCCUGCGGGUUGUAAAGCACUUUUAGUGGGGAACAAAAAGCUACGGAUUAAUACUCUGUGGUCUUGAUUUAACCAAAGAAAAGCACCGCUAACUCUGUGCCAGCCGCCGCGGUAA
RNAcentral lists this ribosomal RNA (499 nucleotides) under uncultured bacterium. RNAcentral's name for it is "bacterial SSU rRNA". It matches the Rfam family "Bacterial small subunit ribosomal RNA", at positions 30 to 523 of the family's 1533-position model. The record is from RNAcentral.